This 253-nucleotide ribosomal RNA is filed under the name uncultured bacterium. Its description in RNAcentral is "partial 16S ribosomal RNA". It matches the Rfam family "Bacterial small subunit ribosomal RNA", at positions 524 to 776 of the family's 1533-position model. The record is from RNAcentral.
UACAGAGGGGGCAAGCGUUGUUCGGAAUUACUGGGCGUAAAGGGCGCGUAGGCGGCCUGUUAAGUCGAACGUGAAAUCCCCGGGCUCAACCCGGGAACUGCGUCCGAUACUGGCAGGCUUGAAUUCGGGAGAGGGAUGUGGAAUUCCAGGUGUAGCGGUGAAAUGCGUAGAGAUCCGGAAGAACACCGGUGGCGAAGGCGGCCUGCUGGGCUAUGGCUGACACUGAGGCGCGACAGCGUGGGGAGCAAACAGG